UGGGGAAUAUUGGACAAUGGGGGCAACCCUGAUCCAGCCAUGCCGCGUGAGUGAUGAAGGCCUUAGGGUUGUAAAGCUCUUUCACCCGGGACGAUAAUGACGGUACCGGGAGAAGAAGCCCCGGCUAACUUCGUGCCAGCAGCCGCGGUAAUACGAAGGGGGCUAGCGUUGUUCGGAAUCACUGGGCGUAAAGCGCACGUAGGCGGACCGUUAAGUCGGAGUGAAAUCCUGGGGCUCAACCCCAGAACUGCCUUCGAUACUGGCGGUCUCGAGUCCGGAAGAGGUGAGUGGAACUGCCAGUGUAGAGGUGAAAUUCGUAGAUAUUGGCAAGAACACCAGUGGCGAAGGCGGCUCACUGGUCCGGUACUGACGCUGAGGUGCGAAAGCGUGGGGAGCAAAACAGGAUUAGGAUACCCUGGUAGUCCACGCCCGUAAACGAUGAAUGCCAGCCGUCGGGCAGCAUGCUGUUCGGUGGCGCAGCUAACGCUUUAAGCAUCCGCCUGGGGAGUACGGUCGCAAGAUUAAAACUCAAAGGAAUUGAC
This 542-nucleotide ribosomal RNA is filed under the name uncultured bacterium. Its description in RNAcentral is "partial 16S ribosomal RNA". It matches the Rfam family "Bacterial small subunit ribosomal RNA", at positions 355 to 914 of the family's 1533-position model. The record is from RNAcentral.